AUCAAACAUCACUACACCAAAAAUCACUUUCCACAACACAUGAAUAUAAUACUAUUGAAAAAGUAUUAUAUUUUCUUAGCAUAAAAAGCGGUAAAGGCGAGAACCUGAAAAUGUAUCCCGCCUCUUCUCUCACUAAAAAAAAUGAGCCCCAAUUUUCUUUUCUCAUUUCCCUUCUCAAUACCCCAAAACCGAACAAUCAAAAACUUAUCUUCUCUCAAAGUUUUCCCUGCUUGAAUCCAUCUUACGAACUUUCUUCCCAUCUUUAGCCUUUGACAUCUUCCUCUCUAGACCAAAGUUUGACCUUUAUUUCUCCCUUCCCGAUACCCCUUUUUCUCUCGCUGCGAGUGGGGUGGUGGACUCGUAGUAGUCGCGACGAGAUCUCAACAGAGGUGCAUUUGGGUUUCCCCUAAUCCCCAUUUCUUUCAUUUCCCCAAAUCCCUAAAACUCGUUUUUUUCCCCAAAUUACUCUGCUGCCUCAUGCACCCCGCCUGUGAAGGUUCUCUUCCCUUCAUCUCUCUAACUUUGCUCUCUCAGCUCUCUUUCUCCCUCACCGAUUCUCUCUCUCUCACUCUCAAGUCAAUCCACCGCUCUGCCUCUAGUCUUCCGUCAUUACUAGCUCUAUUGCUCUGCUGACAUCCUAAACAGAGCACACGAUUAUGGCCAAAUAAACAAUCAAUAUAAUACUUGCUUCUGGGAGCUUGUUAAAUCUGGAAAAAGCAAAAUCAAGGCUCAAAAUAUAUUAAAGGUAUUGAUACUAGCCUUGUUUUUCGAAUUCAGAGUCGUUGGCACUGCUGGAAUGAACAGGGAAGGCUAGGGUGAGGCUUUCCCCAUUCGUUGAGCUGUUGUGUUUGAAUUGGCAUGAAGAUAUAGAUGUUCCUUGUCUUAUCGUAUUUAUCUUUGACAAAAGGUGAGAGCUGCAUCAGUAACAUGUUUUGCGGGCAUAACUUCCUCUGUAUUCUUCUCUCUUACGAAGGAGAAACAAGAUUUCAUUCUUUCUGCUGUGAUUAAUCCAACCAAAGAAGACGAGGUGCCUUCAGUUAGAUCAGCUUCUUAUCGAGCCAUUGGUGUCAUUUCAUGUUUUCCUCAAGUUUUCCAGAGGUGUGAAUAACUGCUUCUUGGGCUUUGGCAAACAUAUGUGACUCUAUCCGGCACUAUAUUGAUACUCUUGCUUUGAAAGGCUCCACAGACAGUACUGCAGUCUCUGAAUCAGUGGCAUUACUAACUGAUUGUGCUUUACGUCUAUCAAAUGAUGGAGACAAGGCUCAUGAGACAACAACACGUGAAGCAGAGAAAAAGUUGCUGCUCUUGUUAGGAUUCGACAAGAUAAAGCCUCAUCUCAUGGCACUGCACUUGAAUAAGGACCUAAUGAAACAUAGGUUCAAUUCCCUCAUAGUUUGACAACUUCUUUGGGUCAUCUUGUUUUUGACAUGAAAGGUUGUGGAUCGAAUUGGCGAGGAGCAUUGCAAAGUUAAUUAACUUAAUUAUUCAUUGCAAGAGGUACGGAAGUAUGUUCUCUUAACUCUUUUAUUAAUAUCAUACAAAUGUUAGAGGAGUUUGAAUAUCUUAAAUAUUCAUUCGUAGAGAAGUAGGUUCUGAGAUUAAAAUUGUGUGUUACGGUGAUAACGGAAGGUUGAAAACUUGUGUGUCUUAGAGAAGUAGGUUCUAGAAAAUUUGUUUGUGUGUUGCGGUGAUAUAAGGAAGAAAACUUAUUGUGUGUUGUUUGAAUUUUUUUACUUGGUAUUGAUAGAUGGUUAGGUAAGCUUUUAUAUGGGAAAUGAUGUCAGAUUUUAUCUAGAAUUAUGUAUUAUCUUCUUACAAAUAAAUUGUGUUUGCUUGAAUUGGUUUGAUUAUAUUGAUUGAUAUCUCGCCUGGGGUGUGAAUAAGAGUAGUUUUCACGUCCCCAACCUUAGGGUUUGAAUAAUAAAACAUUAUACAUAUGAGUUGUGAUUGGAAAAAUGCAUAAUCUGAUAAUGCCUCUAUGAGUUCUAAGUCAAAUAUAAUUACCCAAAACAUCAUAAAUAUAAUUACCCAAAAUAAUAGCUUGGUUUCCCUCCCCUGUCAUUUUCAGAAGAUCCACCUUACUUCCAUAGUAAAGUUCACAUUCAGCUCUAUGACCAUUUGAGUAAGCAUAUGCAACACAUGAACAAUUGCUCCUGUACAGCGGCUCACAACCGUUUAGACCAAUAGCAGUAGCCCUUCAAGUGGUUAUCAAUGUCGGCAUUAGUCCUUUUUCCUCAUAGAAAUCAUCACCAUUUUCACAAACUAAUGGAAUGAUCAAACAACCACUAGAAUUCCUCUCUGUUGUGCCAUCACAAAGCGAAUAGUUGACCAUUGAAAUCUGCUGAUCUUCCAUCCUAUACUCAUUGAUAACCCCAUUAUCAGCCAUGACAAACCAUGAAUACACAUUGCUAAGUGCCAGCUAAGUGCUUUUUCUUCAAUAUUUGCCUCUGUGGACACCAUAACAGCCAUAAAGAGUUAUAUAGCUUCAACCCCAUUACUGUAAUUGACAAAUUUGUUUCUUCUCUCUUUUGUUUCUCUUUUUUUUAGGGUCAUUUAAAUUCAAUUGAUAGUUAAAAUAGAUCGGAAAGUGGUGGAGAUUGGACCUUUUUUCCCUUUCACUUUUAUAAAAUGUAUAAUCUUUAGGAAAUAUUGAGAAGUAGGCAAAGCGUUGCUUUAGGUGCUGAGGUAGAAAGUGAUAGCUUAAGUAAAAGAGCUGGAAGAAUGUUGUUAUUUUGAUUUUCUUUAAAUUGCAACUCCCAUAAUUCUCAUUCCAAACAUCAACAUGAACAAGAAAAAACUUCUUCCCUGUCAAAGCCUUACUCAGCUCAUUUUGAAGUUGAUGUAUGUCCUCAAUCUCACAUUUGUAUAAAGUGACAAAAUCCAAAUUUUUCUUUGUUAUUCUAAAAAUAUAAAACUCUACUGAGAUAGUAUCCCAUGCUUUCAAGUCAAAAUGUCUUUGGACACUCCUUUCCUUGUAAACAAGUUCUAUGUGGUGGUCUUUUUUGGUCAACUUCUUUCAAACCAAGGAACAUUGUUUGAUCUAAAAGAAAGUUUAAUGCACCAAGAAUCCCCUCUAAUUCUAGCUUUACAUUAUGCUCAAAUAGACUAAAAAUAGUUGGGACAAAGAUCAACAACUUACUUGCUUUUCUUGAUCCGGUUUUGCCUUUCUCCAACUUGAGUCUCAAAGCUUCAGAAUUGAUCUUGUCCAUCACAUGGUCUACAUCAUAAAGUACUUGUUUAAGCUCAUCAAGCCACUUCUUGACUUCUUCACUAGUUGAGGCAAUCACAGCUAGUGAUUUGCUCUCAAUUGAAGCAUAAACUUUCACUGCAAAUAGAACUAAGUUAGCUAUGUUUGAUGCAUUCACUGCCAACCUCUCACUCUUUGCUAACUGCUUCACCUCAUCCUAAAACCAAGCAUAAACAUAUAAAUAAAAGUGUUCAGUAACAGUAAUAGUAGUCAAAAUAGGUUCAUAUUGUCAGAUUUAACACAAUUUGAGGCUUACUCAUCAAAUGAUUGUGUUCUUAUACAAAUGAACUAAAUACACUCAAAAGCAGUGCUAUAUAUCUGUGUCCAUUCCUUAAUGAUCACUCAAUCUCCUUUAUUUUCAAGUAAUAAUUGUCAAAUGAGACAUAAAGAAUUAAAAUUACUUUUCACUAAUUAAUAAUUUUGAUUUCAAAACUAAUCUAAGAUGGCAACAACCUCAAUUAGACUUUCAGGGAAGAAGCCCAUUUCAGUCAUGAUCUCCAUCUCAUUGAAGCCUUCAAGAAUCCUUUCUUGCUAUUUAUAAUAUUCUGCAACUUUGUAUUGUUUCCCUAAAUAUAUACAAAAUAAAUGAAUGAAUGAAUAAAUUGUGUACAAAUUUCAAUAAUAGUUCUUAGAAAUCAUAUAAAUGUUAUAAUUUUCUGUGUCCAACAUCACGUGAUGUGUUUAUAUGUGGAUAAAUUUAAAAAUGACUCUUUUUUAUUAUAAUUUAAUAAGUAAUAUUGGAUUCUAUCAACUGACAUUUCAUGUGAUGUUCGAUUCUGUAAAGUCCUUUGGUCUCUCCUUCUUCUCAUGCAUUAGUGUUUCUCAAACUCUCUUCUCUCACUCAUCAUCCCUUUUAAAACCCCUUCAUUCUCAUCACCAGGAUAUGUUUUCUCCAGGUAAAACAAGAUUGUUAUCCCAUCCUCAUUUUCCUUGUUAAGAUCAUCAUCAGAAGUGUGAAGGACAUCUUCUUUGUAGUGUGAAGUCAGAAUACUAAUGAAUUCAGAAAUUACAGAUGUUUAAUUUAACCAAAAGAAAGAGGACCCCAUCAAAAAGAAAACAAAAAUAUAUUAAUAGAGAAGAUAUAUCAUAUGAUGAAACAUUAUUUAGAGAAGAGAUUUUAUCAUGAAAGACAAACUGACUUUUUUUUUUCUUUUCCUGUCUCUAGUUCUGUACUGUAUAGUAGUAAGUAGUUAAGCUAUAAUAUAAAAAGGUUGCUUCUAACUUAUACGAUUUCCAUCAUAUAAGAGUAAUAUAGUUUUAAAAAAUUAGUUAAUUAGUUCUUCAAUUACAAUAAACCUGAAGGAUAACAUGUCACAAUAUUUAUUUGAUUGCUACGUGGACCAAGUGGCAAGUGAUUGAGCUCCUCAGUCAAACUUUACUCAUGCACCAAAAUUAAUAAUUCAUCAAAAACUUUCACAAUAUUUACUAUAAUAUAAUGCAUGCUUUUAUAGCUCAAUUUAACCACUAAUCAUUCUAUGUAUUCUAGCUACCUUUAAAUAAUUAAAUGUACUAGUACUAUAACAUAUACAUAUAUAUAUAUAAAUCAUUCCAACAAAUAGUAUAUGUAUAUUAUAUGCAUGAGUGACUAAUAAUCCUAUCAUAUUGGAGACAUAAAAAACUAUAGUCAAUUGUAUUGAUUUUCUUUCAGAUUAAUAAUCUAACUUUCUGUUUAGGAAAUUAAUAUAUAUUGAGAGAGAAAAACAAAUUUCAAACAUGCAGUGCUAUCACAAAAAUACAUAAAGUCAAAGUCAUAAACAAACAUGUGUUUAAUUUUCUACAUGUAAUUUUUUAGUUAGGAAAGUCAACCCUGUAAAUGACUCAUUUAUUAGGGCGGUAGAGCAACAACAAGUGAGGGGCGGUCCCACAAUAUUCCACAAUCCAACAAUAUUCCUUCUCCUAAUGUAAAUAUUCAAAUUGUGAGUGUUGGAGUUUAGAAGGGCCAUAACUUUAUAUAAGCAAGGAAUGCUUGCUACUUGCUCGAUUGGUAAGAUGCAAUUAUUGCUGAAGGCCGUUGGGAUUCUAGUGAUCCAGACUUAGAGGUGCACGGAAUUCCUCUUGGACCAGAUUUUAUGCGUGUAUGGGUUGAUGUUGCUGUUGUGCCUGGUGCUUAUUUAUUUUUUCCUAACUAUGCGAUGCUUACUAUACGAGAAGUUGUUGGUUCAACAGUUGCAUGACCUUCUCAAAAGGUUAUUCCAAGAGAUUCAACAAGUCAAGUGCAAAAGAAAAUCUGAUUUGGAAGGCUUUGAUGUGCUGACAUAUAGAAGAUCAUGAAUUCCUACCUUUACUUUUGAAUAUGCAACUGUUUAAGACUAUUUUGUUGACUAUUGUGAGAAUGUUUUGUUUAUGUUAAUUAGACAGUGUUGAAUA
Humulus lupulus (European hop) is the source of this 5614-nucleotide long non-coding RNA. RefSeq lists it as uncharacterized. The record is from RefSeq and is a predicted model, not a curated record. Lineage: Eukaryota; Viridiplantae; Streptophyta; Magnoliopsida; Rosales; Cannabaceae. The transcript has 12 exons.